RNAcentral lists this ribosomal RNA (525 nucleotides) under uncultured bacterium. Its description in RNAcentral is "bacterial SSU rRNA". It matches the Rfam family "Bacterial small subunit ribosomal RNA", at positions 29 to 526 of the family's 1533-position model. The record is from RNAcentral.
AACGAACGCUGGCGGCGUGGAUAAGACAUGCAAGUCGAGCGCGACUUAUUUUGUAGCAAUACAGGGUAAGUUGAGCGGCGAAAGGGUGCGUAACACGUGGGCAAUUUGCCAUAAAGUUGGGGAUAACUCGCUGAAAGGCGAGCUAAUACCGAAUGUGAUUAUCUGGAGGCAUCUUUGGAUAAUUAAAGUUGGGGAUCGUAAGACCUGACGCUUUAUGAUGAGCCCGCGGCCUAUCAGCUAGUUGGUGAGGUAACGGCUCACCAAGGCUAAGACGGGUAGCUGGUCUGAGAGGACGACCAGCCACACUGGAACUGAGACACGGUCCAGACACCUACGGGUGGCAGCAGUCGAGAAUUUUUCUCAAUGGGGGAAACCCUGAAGGAGCGACGCCGCGUGGGGGAUGAAUGGCUUCGGCCCGUAAACCCCUGUCAUUUGCGAACAAAUUGCUUCACCUAACACGUGAAUCAUUGAUUGUAGCGGAAGAGGAAGGGACGGCUAACUCUGUGCCAGCAGCCGCGGUAACAC